Molecule: ribosomal RNA, 338 nt
Filed under: uncultured Pseudomonadota bacterium
Lineage: Bacteria; Pseudomonadati; Pseudomonadota
Description: bacterial SSU rRNA
Rfam family: Bacterial small subunit ribosomal RNA
Source: RNAcentral
AACGAACGCUGGCGGCGUGCCUAACACAUGCAAGUCGAACGGAAUUGAGGGGCUUGCUCUUCAAUUUAGUGGCGCACGGGUGAGUAACGCGUAGAUAAUCUGCCUGAUGAUCUGGGAUAACACUUCGAAAGAGGUGCUAAUACCGGAUAAGACCACGGAGUCUUUGGACUCUGCGGUAAAAGGUGGGGACCUUCGGGCCUACCGUCAUCGGAUGAGUCCGCGUACCAUUAGCUAGUUGGUGGGGUAAUGGCCUACCAAGGCUACGAUGGUUAGCUGGUCUGAGAGGAUGAUCAGCCACACUGGAACUGAGACACGGUCCAGACUCCUACGGGAGGCAG